UGUGCGCACACAAGUUCAGCGCAAUUCACAAAAGUCGCUUACACCACAUCUGCCGUCCUGUCUUGAUAACCUGCGCUCUCUGCUACGUAACUCUACAACGCAAGUGGCGUACAUGGAGAAGCCGUUCAAAUGAUAGCGCUCGUAUGUUUACUGCCACACGCCACACAUUUCAUCCGACCGUGACGCUGCCAACCGUGAUGCAGAUAUAUGACGUCACGUCCCGUGCGGCAGUCGUAUCCCGGCUGGAAGAAGCGCUGUGAGAACGUGAAACAGUCUGUCCCGGUCACGUCCCCCGCCUCCACCACUGCACCUGCUUGACAUGCCUGGUAACUGCUAAUAAAAGUUCCAUUGGAUGGAUGCUUUUGUAUUCCUGUAGCUAACUAAAAAAAUAUACGUAUACAAAAAGGUAACAGUAUGUGAAAUUGUUAUCUAGAUCCAGAGUUCUAGGGGUAAGUGUGUAGUACCGAUAGACCCUAGUAGCUAAGGCAUUGGGCAGAACCCAAUCCGCAGCCAGUGUAUAACAAGGGAAAUAAUAUGUGGUAUUAUAUUAAAUAUAUGUCAAUAAAAAGGUAUCAGGGAGAUUAAUUUCAGUAUGCAGAAGCAUUACAGUCAUUAUACAUACUUCAUGUCAAGUGUCCAUAAAUUUAAAAAAAAAAGGAAAAAUAUUUCCUAGUCAUAGUCAAAUAUCUACAUGUCAGUCAAAUGUCAUAUGUCAAUAAAGUUUCAGCUAUAGACGGAUGUUAUAGCUAGGAUUAAGCUAGUCAUAUUGUAUGCCUAGUUGUUAGAGAUGCAUCAUAGUAAAAGAAAACAAGUAUACCUAUACAGAAAAAGGCAUUGAAACAUAAUAAAGUAUCAUUGUUAUACUGACUAUA
Molecule: long non-coding RNA, 872 nt
Organism: Hyla sarda
Lineage: Eukaryota; Metazoa; Chordata; Amphibia; Anura; Hylidae
Exons: 3
Source: RefSeq, a predicted model, not a curated record